CUAGUUCACACUCCACAAUCUUUAGCCUGAUAUUCGAGUCACUGAUAAUAUCCAGAAGUCACUGUCAAAAGCUCCACAUGGGAGUGAGAUCUACGUUCAAUGCACAGUCACACAUCCUCAACAAACGUCGAAGGAGGCACAACAAUCACAUGACAGUGUGAAAUAUGAACUACACAGCAAUCCAAAGUCCUGCUGUGUGAACUUGGCAUUACUUGGUUCCUAAAUGUUUCAGACAUAUUUGCUCCUAUUGUAUUGUACAUUGUAUCGUUCAGUAUAUUAUGCUUCACCCUUUUCCUUUGUUUAACCUGCAGCACCGUCUGUGUGGGUGUGUGUUUUUGUGUUAUUUCAGGAAAGUGGUUCGUGAGCACAGGAAAAGACAAUCUGUUGAAUGCAUGGAGGACACCAUAUGGAGCUAGUAUUUUCCAGUCCAAGGAGUCCUCAUCUGUGCUGAGCUGUGACGUUUCCCCGGACGACAAGUACAUAGUGACAGGCUCUGGCGACAAGAAGGCCACGGUGUACGAGGUGGUGUACUGAGGGAUGGGACGAGAUGGGGAGGAGCAGGACGGAGACUUUGGGGGGGUGAUUGAGAAGAUGCACCCAGUUGCCAACUGCUCCAAAUCCUCAAAACAUCAUCAUCGACAGCAACUCCGUCUCAGUCCUCUUGAGUCCUUCUGACCCUCACCCCUAAUACAUCUCCCCUCUCCCCCUUUUUGCUGUGAUAUAAGCUACUGUGGAAGCUCCUUAAUGCCCCCUCCCCUGUUCCACCUUCCACUUUGAGCCCAAGGAUGAUGCAUGAUAGCGUACAGAGAGAGAGAGGAGAAACAGCGAGAUAAGAAGGACAAUGGAAAAGGGCAGUGGAGCAUAAAGAUAAGGUCGGGAGGAGAAAGGAAGGAAAGAUGAGGAGAAAGCGAGAGUGCGGAAGGAAGAGAAAUAAAAGGGAGGAAGAGGAGGACAAAAAAAAGGAGGAGGAGGGAGGGAGGCAGGCUAAUUAGGGCUGUUUCCAGAUUAAGAGCUCAGUGGAAGGGAGGCCCCCAGAGGAGGCGUGGAGCGGCACUGUGGGAGCGCCAGCCAGGAGCACUGAUACCACACAAUCGAUUCAUUAGCCAGACAGUGAAAGCCUUAAUGAGGCUGACGCCGCAGCUCGCUCUCUGCAGCGAGAGGUGUCAGGAGCUGGGGAAUGAUGACGCUCUGAGAUGGAGGGGGCCGCUUCAGAUAUCCACAUACAUGAAACAUAGACCGUGCUCGCAAUACACACACACACACACACACUUGGGUACACCCCCUUGAGGUAAUCGUAGGAAGAGAGAAACACACACAACACACAGAGCACCCAAUUAAACAUUCAUCGCCGCACUCCCCAUCUCACUGCUUAAUAUCUAUUUUAUUUCUGCCUGACAAAGGCAGCGUCUAAUGAGCAGCCGAGUCAAUGGGAUCCUCCCGGGGCCCCGAGACACAAACAGAGAACAUCAGCCGAGCUGUUCCCUCUAAUUCCUCCGGAUUGUUCUCCUGACACCGGGCACCGCUCUCACUCUCAUUACAGGCACUGUCAGCCGGAUGACGUAGCACCGCACUGCAACUUCACUGUAAGGCAAACAAGAGGGCAAAUUAACACCACCCUACCACGCUGUCAUCAGCAGCCAAUUUCACAGCGACUAAUCCGACUCCUUUCAAACCUCAUGCAACACGUGUCUGUUUUUAUUCACAGAUGAGAUCACAUGUUUAGUGGAGCUGUUAUUUGCAUCACUGCCUGUCUGAUAAUGAGCCAGUGUUCAAAGUGCUCUGGCCAAAUCUUUGAUAAGCUAUUAAUCGAUAUUAGUUGAAAUGCUCAACACCUUAAAGGAAAAGUUUUGUUAAAUAUUCUUCUUGGCUUUCUUCCUGAUUUUUAGAUGAGUAGACUGAUACCACUGUCAUGUAUGUAUGCAAAGUAUGAAGCCACUGCUAGCAGUCUGCUCUCUUAGCUUAGCAUAAGGACUGAGAAACAGGUAGCUUAGUGCUAACUGAGCCAACAACAAAUUCCAGCACAUCAAUGACUAAAACUAAAACAAAUACUAAAGUGUAAAUUUUACAAAUCACCAACUAUUUUUUGGUCAACCCCAGUUGCCUGGCAACCACAUAAAUGGCCCUAACCACAGACUGUAAAUAAAGAUGGACUACACGUCUCCAUUUCCUCAAAGAUUUAGCAGAAAUAUCCCAGAUAAGGGUAGCGCCAUCUUGUACUUGUAAAGUAGCGAGAUAUGUAUGCACUUGACCAAUCAUGUUUCAGGUGUCAAUUAUGAUGUUGUACCCUGAUUUUAUAACAUAAAAUACCAAAAUAAAAACCAAAUAAUCAGUAAAAGCGAGUGCUUGUACUGAUUCUCCUGUGUGAUAAGAACCACCUAAAAUGACAGAAAUCCUCUUUAAACCAUUAUUUGAGUUUGGUCCAUGCCCCACAAGCUAACAUGGAGGAGGCAGGGUAUAUUACCUAUACAGCAGCCAGCCACAAGGGGGCGAACAGGAGGAUUUGGCUUCACAUUUGGGGAGCUGUCAUGUUGUCCAUCUUACUUAUAUCAUGUCUCAAUCUGUGAGUUUUAGAGGUGAUGCUAGGAGGAUUUUUUAUUUUUACUUUUGGAUGGAGCCUCUUCCAAUCUGUGUGCUGAGGUACGUUAGCUGUUGGCUUCAUACUUCCAGAUAUGAGAGUGGACUCAGUCAUCUCAUCUUACUCGACACAACAAAGCAAAUGAACAUAUUUCCCAAAGCGCCACUUUUUUUCCCUAAACCUUUUUUUUAUUUUGAAUGGUCCUUGUAUCAAACUCUAAACUGGCGGGCAAACAGAAUAUCAGAGCUCUGUUUCUGUAGAACAUGUGUCACCAGUGUGCAGACUAAAAAAAAGGCACUUUUCAAGCUUUUUGUAUCACUCAUUUAAUUUCAGUAUUUUUUAUGAAUAGCUCAUCUUAUGUAAUGAUUUGUUUAUGUACUAGGGGGUUGCCUAUGACUGCGUUUGGGUUCGGGGGAAGCAAACAGAGAGGGACACGCUCACACAUGGAAACAUAUGACAAAAAAAAUGUUUCUUUCUGUUUCUUUUUUUUUUUUAAUCAGUGUAUUUUUAUCCUUGGUGAUGUGCCAGACAGAGGAUUUACAACAUCAGCAAACCCAUGUGAAGAGAAAAAAAAUAAGAUCCUCCAUUUUGGAGAAAUGUUCCUCUGUCUACUGUUUGUUGUUUUUGUUUUAUUACACCUUUUUUCAGAAGUGGUAGUGAACGUACUGUUUCAGUCCUAACUGUGUGAUUAUACAACAUUUCUGUUGAGUCUGGUCAUUGGCUACGACGACUCAGAAUUAGCCAUCAAUGAGGUCCAACUUGUUUCUGCAUGCUUGUUGCACUACAAGUCCACCUCUGCUGAUAGAACCAGAUCCAUCUGAUUUUAUUACACAGGUACAGUGAAUGGUCUCAUAUCCUCUGUUUUACAGAAGGAGGAAUCGUUAUCUUACAUCUCAGUAUGCAAUUUAGUGAAGCUGUAAAAAGAUUUUGGCGAGACUUGUCCGUGUCCCUCGAUAACGCAGGAUAUAAUCACGAGGGACUUCUGCUUUACCAGCAAGGAGUAGAGAUCAUCUGUACAGUUUAACACCUCCGCCUGUCUCUUUCCCGUCCUGUCAGCCACAGGCAAGACCUCAACAACUCUCAUACACAAGCUUGUAUACUACUCAGAAUGAUGCUGUAUAAUGGCUAUGCAUUUGGUGGUAUAGCGUGAAUAUUUUGGACAUUGUAUUUGAUACUCUUCUUUAACCGUCACUCAUUUCUCUCUCUACCUGCCUCUGCUUUCUGUUCCAACUGAUAAAAUAUCACAUUAAGUUUCUCUUCUUUUUUUAAUGCACUGUGUCAUCCCUCCUGAUACAUUUCCUUAUGUGCUGUACAAGAAAAAACUAUGUGUGAAAAAUAAACCAAACUUGUGUUCAUCCUUU
Molecule: non-coding RNA, 3936 nt
Organism: Paralichthys olivaceus (Japanese flounder)
Lineage: Eukaryota; Metazoa; Chordata; Actinopteri; Pleuronectiformes; Paralichthyidae
Source: RefSeq, a predicted model, not a curated record